GGAACGAACGCUGGCGGCGUGUUUAAGACAUGCAAGUCGCACGGGAUUGGAUGAGUAGUAAUACGAUUCCAGCCCAGUGGCGCACGGGUGAGUAACACGUGAAUUACAUGCCCUUCAGUGGGGAAUAGCCCAGGGAAACUUGGAUUAAUACCCCAUGGUAUCGCAAGAUUAAAGGUGGCCAGCAAUGGCUGUCGCUGAAGGAUUGGUUCGCGCCCUAUCAGCUUGUUGGCGGGUAACGGCCCACCAAGGCUACGACGGGUACCUGGUCUGAGAGGACGAUCAGGCACACUGGAACUGAGACACGGUCCAGACACCUACGGGUGGCAGCAGUCGAGAAUAAUUCACAAUGGGGCAACCCUGAUGGUGCAACGCCGCGUGGAGGAUGACGGUCUUCGGAUUAGUAAACUCCUGUCAUCCGGAGUAAGACCUGGCUGUUAAUAGCAGACGAGGUUGAUAGUACCGGAAGAAGGAAGGACGGUACGUAACGUUCGGUGCCGUAGCGAGCCCGACGGUUAACG
RNAcentral lists this ribosomal RNA (518 nucleotides) under uncultured soil bacterium. Its description in RNAcentral is "bacterial SSU rRNA". It matches the Rfam family "Bacterial small subunit ribosomal RNA", at positions 27 to 527 of the family's 1533-position model. The record is from RNAcentral.